CCUGGUGGCCUUAGAGCGUUGGUCCCACCCGAUCCCAUCUCGAACUCGGAAGUGAAACGGCGAAUCGCCGAUGGUAGUGCGGGGUCUCCCCGUGUGAGAGUAGGACACUGCCAGGC
Molecule: ribosomal RNA, 116 nt
Filed under: Gammaproteobacteria bacterium
Lineage: Bacteria; Pseudomonadati; Pseudomonadota; Gammaproteobacteria
Source: RNAcentral